UACAGUUAAAACCUACAACGUAACAAGUGGCCGUUGAAAACAGAAAUGACCAAUGGCCGAAACCGUCACCGAAUCUUCUUAUCAAUGUUGUUAUUGGACACGAUUGCAGUCCUUCUGAAAUUGGCCUUUGCUCUAUGGUGGUUGACGGCAAUAGUACAGGAAAAACAACGAUAUGAUCGAAGACCAGUACAUUCUGAUUCGGACUACUUGUCUAAUUUUGUGAGAUUCUUUGCUUAUUGUGGAUGUGGCGGUUUACUUUUCUGGAUUAUACUUAAAUUGGCAGCUAAUUGUCAACAAUAUCGGCAAGAAAAUCUUAAAAAUAUUUCCAAAUGUUGCUGUUUCGGGACCUGCUGUUGGUUUUUCUAUGGAAUAGUACUGCUCGCAUACACCGUUACAUUUAUUUUUGUAAAUUGGUGCAGACUUACCGACGAUUGGGACUGUAUCUCCGAAUCGUGUUCAAAAUGCCAAUGGCCACGACACGCUGCGAUGGGGUUUUUGUUUUGGGAAACUUUCAUGUUUGGGGUAAUGGUUCUUCAUAGAAUAAAUAAACGCGAUCGACCAAAUCGUAGUGAAAGUGAACCUUAAAAAAUGGUUGACCUUAAGCGGGAUGAAAUCAGAUUUAUUUGUUUUAAUAAAAUAUUGAAAAUAUUCGUCCGGCUUUUCCAA
Molecule: long non-coding RNA, 666 nt
Organism: Bradysia coprophila
Lineage: Eukaryota; Metazoa; Arthropoda; Insecta; Diptera; Sciaridae
Source: RefSeq, a predicted model, not a curated record